RNAcentral lists this ribosomal RNA (492 nucleotides) under uncultured bacterium. RNAcentral's name for it is "partial 16S ribosomal RNA". It matches the Rfam family "Bacterial small subunit ribosomal RNA", at positions 29 to 507 of the family's 1533-position model. The record is from RNAcentral.
AGUGAACGCUGGCGGUAGGCCUAACACAUGCAAGUCGAACGGCAGCACAGUAAGAGCUUGCUCUUACGGGUGGCGAGUGGCGGACGGGUGAGGAAUACAUCGGAAUCUACUUUUUCGUGGGGGAUAACGUAGGUAAACUUACGCUAAUACCGCAUCCGACCUACGGUUGAAAGCAGGGGAUCUUCGGACCUUGCGCGAUUGAAUGAGCCGAUGUCGGAUUAGCUAGUUGGCGGGGUAAAGGCCCACCAAGGCGACGAUCCGUAGCUGGUCUGAGAGGAUGAUCAGCCACACUGGAACUGAGACACGGUCCAGACGCCUAAGGGAGGCAGCAGUGGGGAAUAUGGGACAAUGGGCGCAAGCCUGAUCCAGCCAUACCGCGUGGGUGAAGAAGGCCUUCGGGUUGUAAAGCCCUUUUGUUGGGAAAGAAAAGCAGCAGGUUAAUACCACGCUGUUCUGACGGUACCCAAAGAAUAAGCACCGGCUAACUUCGUG